UAAUUUUGAAUUUUGAAUUUUGUAGAGAUGGGGCCUCCCUGUGUUGCCCAGGCUGGAAUGCAGUGGCUACUCAUAGACCCCAUCAUUGCACACUACAGCCUUGACCUCCUAGGCCGAAGGAAUCCUCCCACCUCAGCCUCCUGAGUAGCCGGAACUAUAGGUGCAUGCCACCAUGCCUGGCCACCUGCUGGAGUUUAAGCAGAUGGUAGGAUGGGUGGCUGGUCCCUAAAGACACUCAUCUUUUAAUCUUUGAAACCUGUGGAUAUGCUACCUUCUAGGGAAAAAAAGGACUUGGCAGAUGUUAGUAAGCAUCUUAAAAUGGAAAAGUUGUCCUAGACUACCUGAAUGGGCCCAAUGUCAUCGUGAGGUCCUUAUAAGAGGGAGGCAGGAGGGUCAGAGACAAAGACAAUGAUGUGAUGAUGGGGACAGAAGUGUGGGUGUGCGAGAGAGGAGCAGAGGGGUUGAAGAUGCACCUCUGCUGCUGGCUUUGCAGACAGAGGAAGGGGCUUUAAGCCAAAGAACAUAGGCAGCCUCUAGAAGCCUAAAAAGGACAUGCAUUCUCCCCUAUGCCCUCCACAAGGAAAAGUAGCCCUGCCAGCCCAUUUCUGACUUCUGACCUCCAGAACAGUGAGAUGAUCUGUGCUAUGUAAAGCCACUCCGCUUGCGGGUAUAACUGGUAACAGCAGCAAUAGGAAAGCAUACAGGCUGCAAGGAUGAAAAUCCUCGAGAACAACUGCUAUCACAUUUAAUUAUUAUUAUUAUUAUUAUUUUUUUUUUGAGAUGGAGUUUCACUCUUGUCGCUC
Molecule: long non-coding RNA, 803 nt
Organism: Nomascus leucogenys (northern white-cheeked gibbon)
Lineage: Eukaryota; Metazoa; Chordata; Mammalia; Primates; Hylobatidae
Exons: 3
Source: RefSeq, a predicted model, not a curated record